GUGCACCAGUCGAGAAACUUCACAAUGUGCGAAAGCACGAUGAGGGAAUCCCAAGUGCUUGCACGUAAGUGUAAGCUGUUUCUCUGUCUAAAACGCAGAGAGAGUAAGGGCUGGGUAAGACGGGUGCCAGCCGCCGCGGUAAUACCUGCAGCUCGAGUGGUGACCGUUAUUAUUGGGCCUAAAACGUCCGUAGCCGGUUUAAUAAAUGCCUGGGUAAAUCGGACCGCUUAACGGUUCGAAUUCCGGGUAGACUGUUAAACUUGAGACCGGGAGAAGUUAGAGGUACUCCUGGGGUAGAGGUGAAAUUCUGUAAUCCUAGGGGGACCACCAGUGGCGAAGGCGUCUAACUAGAACGGGUCUGACGGUGAGGGACGAAGCCCUGGGGCGCAAACGGGAUUAGAUACCCCCGUAGU
RNAcentral lists this ribosomal RNA (413 nucleotides) under uncultured microorganism. Its description in RNAcentral is "bacterial SSU rRNA". It matches the Rfam family "Archaeal small subunit ribosomal RNA", at positions 330 to 745 of the family's 1478-position model. The record is from RNAcentral.